Molecule: non-coding RNA, 14328 nt
Organism: Phalacrocorax carbo (great cormorant)
Lineage: Eukaryota; Metazoa; Chordata; Aves; Suliformes; Phalacrocoracidae
Source: RefSeq, a predicted model, not a curated record
AAAUUUAAAAUGGUUAUUUCAUCUGGGCACUCUUGUGAUCUGGAGUCUGUGGGAGUGAGAGUUGCUCAGGGAUAGGAGCUGUGAGCGGUGUUAGAAAAGCCCUGACAAGCAUCUAUUUGUGAAGGUUUGAAGUUCCUCCAGAUGUUUUCUUCCCCCCAAGGAUGUGGUAAGGUCUGUGUCCAGUUUGGGUUUGGAACUUGGAUAUCCUGAUCCCCAGAUCUCGGCUUACACCAUUUCUUUUCGUUCUUCUUCCCCGAUACAGUUUGGAUGUAGCUACAAUAAGUGGGAAAAUUCUUUGCACACGUUCAAAGGUAAAUGCUUAGAUGCGGCUACUGAAUUUAUAAAUAACCCCCAGAGCUGUGCCAGGGCCCUGCGGGCACCACAGGCUCUAUCGGUUAUAAGGCUGCUUGGCUGGAAGGACCUGGAUCUGCUCAAUAGCUGCGGAGCCUUCGUGACCAAACCCAUCCGUGUUGGUACCUGUUUGAAGGUUGUUUCUUAUUGUUCUGUGUGUUUUGUUUUAACGUGCAAGUGUAUCUCUGUGUUGUAGCUAGGUUUGGGCACCACAGCAAGGAACAUGGGAGGGUUAUGUUUCAUUCUAAUGAGGAAGAAGGAGCUGGAAGCUCCCAUCGGUGCAAAAAAUGAAAUGGGUCUAUUUUGGAAGUGGCAGGAGAGUUACAGACACACAGAAUAAUAAUAUGAACGUUACCAGUCCACAGGCAUAUGGGACAAGAGCACCUACUGUCAGGCUGGCGUGUGUGUAGAAGGCAUAGGUAGAUAUUGCCUGUGUUCCCUUAAGCAGUAUCUUAUAACAGUUCAUUGGUUUCUUUUGAUUCCAACCAGCAUUUGGUUGUUAGUCUUAGUAGCAAUUGUACUGAUUUUAAUAGUAAUCACUGUCUGUCACCGUUCUCACAUGAACCGUUACAGAUUUUUAUUAACUUUGUGCCAUAAACCAAAUACUUCGUAAACAUGCUAUCAAAGGAUGCCCUGCUUUCUUAAUAAGAGACCCCACAUUAGGUAAUUAAACAUCAAAUGCAGCAUAAGGACAAAGACCUAGCAUGCUUUUAUAGCACUUCUAAGGGUAAAUCUUGCGUUUGCUGGAAUCGAUGGCAGUAAUUUUCUUCUGAUUUCUCAGUUCUAAAAAGGGAUUUCAUAUUUUCCUAUUCCAUUCACAGAAUUAAAGAGGGAGAGCACUGCAAAACCGUAGCCCUUCUGCUGGCUGGAAGGUGAACUUGCUGGCCAGUUUUGCAUGGUCGUGUAAACGGUGGGGCUGGCAGGCGGCACCAGAAGCUGCGCACAGGGUGUGAAAUCCUACGGUUCUGUUUUCUUUGGAUAGCUUUGGCUGUAGGAAGGUGGGAGUUGCUGCGGGGGGUUGUAGCAAGAGCCUCAUCUCAUCCUUUCUCCAGUCUCAGAGUAGCCACCUGCUUUCUAAGGACUCUUGCAGAGAACAGUUACAGAGGUACCUGCCUAAAGAGAAAGCUUCCAGCCAUGGGCAAGUGUCUGACACGGGCCACAUUUAUGCAGAUCUUUUAUCCUGUUCAUAUAACUACAGAUGUUCUCUGUGAGGCAAAUUGUCAGUUGCCAUCAUUCCAGUGGCUUCAGUGGAGUUAUGACAAUUAAUCCCUCCGAGAGCCUGCUCUGCUCGCUCUGCGACAGCCUGCUUCUGAAACCCCCUCACCUUUCUGCCCAUGAAAGUACAGGCUGUCAUCUCCUGACCUCAUAUGCCAAGAUUCAGACAACUCGACUGAGGCACUUGAUUUAGGCAUCAGAACUGUCGUAAGAAGGAAUUCCCUCUCUAGUCUGUGGACAGAACUGGCUACCACCACCGAGGGAUCCCGGGUGUCGAAGGGAGGCACCGUCCUCUCCCCACUGGCUGCAGAGGGGCCCUAAGUGGCAUCGGAAGGCAAUUUUGGAGUUCUUGCUUUAGUCUUGAUCACCAACUUGAGAUGGGCUGUUGUCGUCGUUUAACCCCAGCCGGCAGCUCAGCCCCACGCAGCCGCUCGCUCACUCCCCUGGUGGGGUGGGGGAGAGGAUCAGAAGGGUAAAGGUGAGGAAACUCGUGGGUUGAGGUAAUGACAGUUUAACAGGCAAAGCAAAAGCCGCCCACAAGCGCAGCAAACCAGGGAACUCAUUCCCCCCUUCCCGUGGGCAGGCAGGGCUCAGCCACCCCCAGGAGAGCAGGGCUCCAUCACGCCUAGCGGUGACGGGGGAAGGCAAACGCCAUCCCUGCCAGCGUCCCCCUUCCCCCUCCUCCCCCAGCUCCGUGUGCUGAGCAUGACGCCGUGUGGUGUGGGGCAGCCCUGGGGGCAGCUGGGGUCACUGUCCUGGCCGUGUCCCCCCCAGCCCCUUGUGCCCCCCCAGCCCCUCGCCGGUGGGGUGGGUGAAGGGUGGGAAAGGCCCUGCCUCUGUGCAAGCCCUGCUCAGCAGGGACGAAGCCGUCCCUGGGUUAUCAGCACUGUUUCCAGCACAACUCCAGACCACAGCCCCGUACCAGCUACCGUGAAGAGAAUUAACUCCGUCCCAGCCAAAACCAGCACAGCUGUGUAGCCCGUCAGCAAUGCCCUGCACGUCUCUGGACCUGGUGGGCCUGAUCCGGGGCUGCACGCCAGGAUUCUGCAUCAGCACACGACCAGAGACGACUGACUCUGAAGUCCUUCACGUACAGGGGUGGGGCUCUAUGGAGCAUCAGUGAAUCCUCUGUGGGACUUCACUGCCACUAUUGCAUCAGAUACAAACCUGAGGGGUAUACGGAUAGUCUUAAUCUCACCUUGAAGCUAUUAGGAAGUUUUUCAACUUCUUCAGCCCCAAUAAAGUGGAUGUCACCCUGCCUGUAACAGAUGAUUUUGUUGAUAUAUUCAAAUGAGGUGGCUAAUUUUUCCUUAGGGUAAAAAAAUGUAUGAAAUUCCCAUAUCAUCUGAUACAAGUAAAGAGUCUGUAACUUCUUUCUCAUUCAUUUUCAUCCAGUUUAUCUGUUUGAGUUGGAGCUCAAUUCAUUUUCUCAGGAUUAGGGCUUCUUUAAGGCCCGCUUCUUGCCAUCCUUCUGCUAAAACCAGCCGGUUUUCUGGAGAACAGCGAUGAGGCCACUUAAUUUGUAACUCUUUUCAGAAGCCUUAUACAUUCUGUGAGGUUGUUUACUCUGCUUUUAUUUCCAUUGCCGAUUUGAUUAGCUCGGCCUUUCAUACUUUUCUUUCUUUACUGGAAGAUACAGCUCUGAAGUAUGUAUCCCUACAGUACGAGCUCUGAGACAAAUAAAUCAGUUGGCUUCUUUGCAGUGUCUCUCCUUGGAUUAGUUGCUCUCUGUCCUUUCUACAAGGACUCGUAGCAUCAGGCUCAGAUUAGCUUCUCUUGAUUGGAUCAUCUGUCUUGUAAAAGACAUCCUCUGCUCUUCCUGGCUGCUCUGAGCGUGCUGCUUAAAAGCUGGUGUUCAUGGAGAUGCCUAAGAGAGCCUUAGCUUCAAUCCUUAGGACAAUUUGCUCUCCAACAGUGUAAGCAGCCCCAACUUUCUUUUGAAGCCCAAGGAUGUGACUUUAGGUUAGAGAACAUGGAACACUUGAGAGAAAAUUAGCGCUCUUUUGUACUAUUAAAAGUAAUGUAAUCACUGGUGAUCACUAAUAAACCACGCCACUUGUUGGGCAGGUUCUGCCUUUGAGGGCAUUGGAAUAAAGACUUCAGCAAUAGAAAGACUGAGACAACUACACUUAGGUAAUUUAGGACAGGGACUUCUCUGAGGAGGCAUAACUGGAGGCUCUAGCUGUCUUCAAGGUAACCUAGAAUAUAUCCCUUACUUUGUUAAUUCCUUUCCUGUGGGAUACUAUAAUCCAUUUCAUAUGGUGAUAGGACAGAAAAUGAUGACCUGAAGCUAAGGCGGCAAAAAUUUAAGCUAAACGUCAGUAAAAUUAUUCAGGAGCUCUAAAAGUUAGCACCAAGAAAAGGUACAAAUGUUGGAGGGAUUAAGCACCCUUUCUUAAGGGAAUCAAAUCUGGCAGCGCUUAAGGAUGACACACUAACACCCCAGUGUUAUUUAGAACACAUUUAGCGUAUCAGAGAGAGCAUCAGUGUUUUAGAGAGCCAAAGCACUCUGUAUAGUUGUUGGGGAGGAAAAGUAUUAGGCUCCUUAGCAGUGGUGGUAGGGUAGCACGUAUUUAUCACCGCAGCAAAUGUUGCCAGGAUCGGCAUUAUUUUUUUGUCAUUUGGUGGCCAGGGAACGUGUUGGGUGGGAGCAAAGUUCCCAAAAGCAAUAGGGAGCACUGGUCUGGUUUGGUUUCUGGAAACAAGUAAAACCAGGUACAGGCCAGAUUUUGUUUUCUGAAGUAAAUAAACCUAAGAAUGAGUUUAACUAGUUACACCCAACAGAAUAACCUGUCAGAUUAAAGUCAUUUACAAGUCAGUAGCGAGGUCUGUGCAGGGAGUUUAAAAGAGACGCUAAUAUUUUAAAGCCGAGAACUCAGAAAUUAGGAGAGAGCAGGAUUACCGUUUCUCAGAAAUGUUAAUCUGUUGAGAGCACAGGACUGCCAGCGCAAGCCAGCAGUAGGCUUUGGUCUGUUUCAGCCUCGGUCAGUCACCUUUAGGAUGAGGUUUAACUGGCAUCGAUAAACGCCCCAGCCUAAAAAUAGAGAUGGCCAAAAUGUUUCCUUCUGUACAGGUUUUCUUCGCUGGGAUGCUCGCUGAGCCGAGCAGAGGCAUCUGCUGCUGCUGCGCCAUAUUUGUGCGUAUCUUGUGUAUCUCCGUCUCUCGGACUGAAAGGUGAAAUGCUGGUUGUUUAUUUUCCUUGCUGCUUUUGGGUUCCCUUUCGCUAAUUCAACCUCCAGGGGUCCCCUUAAUUCAGAGGGGGGCACAUGUUUUUGAAAGGUUUCAGAAACCACUGUCUGUGGCAUAUUGUGAAACGCUUCUUUAACGUUAAGCUUAUUUUCCAAAGACCUAAAUAUUCCAGUAUCACUGUUUUAAACUGUGCGUCAUUAUGUGUAUCGCCGACAGCAAGAAUUAAACCAGAAGAGGUCAGGCUUGUCUGGCUUCACAGUGAAAGAGUGACUAAAGGAUACUGGAGGAGCUGAGAGGUUUGUUUCUAUGGGUAUGAAGUCCUUUGGAAAUGGAAAAACCCACCUUUGCAGCUCUCUUGGUGCUCUUGCUCAGCAGAGCUGCAAACAAAUUGGUCUCUGACACCUUAUUUAGGGGCCUGUUACCGAUGAGAAUUCUGCUGGCGUGAAGAUGCAAAGCUAAAAAGGGGCUUGGUCUGCCGUGAUCUCCUGUCCUGAAGCUACUCUGCACUCACAAAAUCCUGUACCUUUCAAUACACCAGACUGAAAACGACCCAAUAAAUCAAACCAGAGGAAAGGAUUUCAGUUUGUUCUUUACUUAGGUGGAAGGUUAAAGUUAUCGAGGUAAAUGUAGCUCUUCUGAAGCCAAGAAAAUGUGCCAUGAAAUAACCUUCAACCAUGAGUUUUGUCCUGAAGGCUGUGCUUAACAUACCUAUCAUGUUUAAUUGGCUUUUUUUUUCUGCAGGGUACAGGUCAACUCACUGAUUAAAGAUCAUACUGGAAGUAGGCCAGGCUUCACUUUAUUUUGGUGGACAAAAAUGGGUUGAAAGGGAACGGAAAGGUUAAAAUAUUCCCUUAUUUAUUUGGAAAACAUGAACUGAACAAGGCCAUACUGGACCAGCACCUGAAAAGCCAAGAAGUAAGGCAAACUCUAAAUACCAAGGGAAGCGAAACCAAUACGUCGGUGUGCGAUCAGACGAAACGAGGUGGUGAUACGAACUCGUGUUUUACUGCUGAGCAACAAAGGCAGUGAAGAAGGAGGAAUAUUCCUCGGCACAUCCUAGGUACGACCGUUACUAAAGCCACCGGUGAUGCACGACGAUCUUCCCUCCGGGUCCCCAAAGACCGGCUGUUUCUCUGGAGACCGUGGCCAGCCGUCGCGUGCCGGGCGGAGCAGGCAGCGAGAAGCAGCGCGCGGUCUGACAGCGGGCUCGGUGCUGCCCUGUGCCGACGGAGCAGCCCCGCUCGACGUCCGGCUCAGCUUCGCUGCUUGCCGCUGCAACACAAGGCGAGCCCCAGCGUGUGCUUCGGGGCUCCUUGGCACCCCUGCCCUGCGCAGUUGUUAAUUUAACGGCUACGUUACAGAAGGUGGCAGCUGUUGUUUUUGAUCUGAAUGCAGUGCUGAUUUCUCUCAAGGAGUCUUCGUCCCCGUAAUUAGGAGGGAACAGAAAGAAUACUGUUCUGGAACCAUCUCGUGAUAUUUUUACUGCAUCCUACUCAUCUUUUUUUAUUUUUUUUUCCUGACAGAGGGUACUGUAUCUUAAUUAUCUUUUGGCAAAUCGUUAUUUUUUCCAGUUUACCGUUUCGUAUGUUUGAAACUGAAGCUCUUUAUAGCCUCCCCUUUUACUUGCUUCUCUCUAAAUGCAUUUUAGGGUUGCUUGCAAGGGACAAACAGACAAACAGACGCAGACAUCCCUUUUUAGGAAAAAUGGAGAAAUAGAAUGCACACUCCUCUUUUUUCUUUCCUCUCAGACAUAGUCACGCACAUUUUACCAUUAUUAUCUGAUUAUUGUGGAGAAACAGAACGGAAAGAAGCAAAAAGAGAGACGAUAAAUACGCCUCAAACCCACUUUUUUCUGACUAGGUUGCUCGGUAUGGCCGUAUGCGAUGGCGGUUGUGUGGAGUAAGGUGUAAGGUCCGCAGGGCAUCACUGUUCAACAGAAGCAAGCAGGUAUUGCAGCGUGCUCAGAACGCCGACGGGGAACCUGCUUCCCAGUACGUUCCAAGCGGUUCCCUGCAGUUAUAUUACAGUCCUCAAUCCCUCAUUUGCGUCUCAUCCAGGGAUGAUUUUCAUCGCCCUGUGAAACGAUUUGAGGUUUUGCUUUUCCGGCGAACAAAGCUAAAACAGACUGUAGAAAUUUAUCACGGUUUCUACAUGUUAAACGAGUGAAUCUCCGUUUCAGGAGCGCACAAGAACGGCUAGAUUUGAGAUCCCGGUGCGAGGUGGCCGUGGGGGGCAAGUUACAGCAUGGUCGCUCUCGGUGCCAUGGAAACAGCAAAACUGCAGUAAUCUCUUUUGGCCGGGCCUGUGGGUCCCUUCAGAGUUCAUCCCUGUUCAUAAAAGAGUUCCAGAAGAAUGUAGAAGACCAGUAAGUCCAUCAGCGUGCAGAGGCAUUUUGCGAGCCAGCUGGCAAGGCUUGGGCAGGUCCCACCGGAUCUCGGAAUGAACGGUACGAGACGAACGUAAAUGCGAAUUCUUGGAGAAAGGCUAACGGCCAGAUUCUGCUCUCUGCUUCGUUAAACGUGGAGGGAUUUCAGCGUAAUCAGCAGCCUCGUUCUAGUUUUAUGCUCAGGCUGGAUCCUCUGCAACGGGGGGAAGGUCCAGGCGCUGCGUGCAGGUCACCGCUGCGAUAACCCGCUGCUUGUUCUGCCACGGUGCUGCUUCCGAACAGGGUGAAACCCUCCACCUCCUCGUGUACCUCAGCCCCGAGCUGGCGAGAAAUCUGAUGCUGUGAAGAGCCAGAAAGUGACUUUUAAGCUGCGGAAGUCCCUCAGUCCUUGACGUCGCCAGAGAUAACACCAAGAGCCACUUACAGGGCUGCCUCGCGCUGACAUGCGAGUACUGCUGCAAGGAAUACCCGUUCGUUUCCAGCUGCCCCAGGAAACAUUUGGUUCUCCUGAAGCACUUCCAGGAGCGCACAGAUCGUGUUUCUUCUUGUCAGCUCUUGGCAGCACCAGCACUCAUCCGAAGUAGCUGUCUCCCCUUAACUAACCUGGAGUCAGGCAGAAAACUUGUGUGGCACUCGAAUUGAGGAGAGGGAUAACACGGGCAGGACAGGAGGUGCGCAGCGGGGUUCCGACGGUGAGGGGCACUUGGGCAGCGUGAGCACUGCCCACCUAAGGGCUGGCUGAGGGAUCUUCUCCGUCCCGUUUUCUGCGAGCAGCAGGGAAGCCGCGAGGUAGGGAAGCUAACACGGCGGCCGUAAGGUGGACUGGUAUUUUGGAGCAGCUGCAUUUAAUUGGACUAUGCAGAAGGCUCCCGGCAGGCUUUCAUUGUUCUUGCACUUCCAUCAGGAGUAACGGUGGUCUAAAUGUGGAAGGGAGGACGGCGGGAGAAGAGGGGUGUCGCAGGAUUGCUGCCGUACCACUGACUGGUCAGAGCUCUACGUCUGCCCCUGUUUCAGGGACAAGGGCAUGUUACUUUAACUCUGUGUUUUGUUUAAGGCUUUAUUGUUUUUGAGGCAUCGAUGGAUAAUGAUAAGCAUGGAGAAAAAGGCACCUCUUCUCAGCCACAAGGUAGUUAGGAGGCGUUGUGUCUUCCUCUCCAUCUGCUCAGGAGCAAGGUCGUGAGUUAGGCAGGCGCUGGACCAAAGAAGGUCAAACCUUUGGUUCUCUCCUUGGCUCGUGGUCAGCUGAGGCGUUUACACACAGCCCUGUUAAACUGCCUGAGCUACCGUCCUUAAGGCUUGGGUGUAUCUCUGUAUCUCUGCCAGGGCCUCUCGUCAGCAGGUUCCAAGAUGGCCCUUGUUUGAAGAGCCGUUAGUAAAUGAAAGUAGCUCUCUUUCCACCCUGGAAACUCUUUCUUCCCCCAGUAUCUCCUGGGUCAUAUACGGGGGCUGCUGUUCCAAGCCCAGCUUCACAUUUCAAUGUAAUUAGAUUGUCAUCCCUGUCUCUGUCUUAAUUAAAUAACAAGCCAAGCAUAGGCAGAUAGGAGACUCAACACUGCUGGGCUGUCAGCUUCGGGGAGGAGAUCCAGGCAAUUUGGUUUAACGGGACAGUUUUUUACCAGCUUUUCUUCCCCUUUGACAGAUGACUGCUUAUUUUCUCCUGCCUGAUAACGUGAAAAAAAUAUUGUGAAUGAACAAUUGUUUGCUGCAAUUUGUUUAAAAAUAUACUUUUGAGCACAGCUAGCGUAGGCAGCGGUUGUCUUCUCGGACUAGUCCCGGGGUGGCGUCCCUCUGGAGCAGGUGCCUUGCUGCUUGAGGAGGAGUUUGGCCAUGGGGUAACAUAAUGCCUCCCCCUUGCUUUUUUAAAUAGUUGAGUCUGAGAGAACAGGAAAGCUGCUGCCUUUCACUGCGUUCAGUUCCUGCCCUCUCAUUCCCUCUUCUUCCCUCCCUUCCAUCCCCUCAAAUCUCUAGAUGCCUCCUGCCUCCCCUUCUGCCAGCAGGGACAGCGAGGCUGUGAGAGCCGAUAGACACGGGGGUGCCGCGGAGCUCCCCGACAUCGCCCACUGCUCCGAGACCCCGCCGAUACCUGCACCGGCCCUGCACCAGAACCGCCGAGGCUCGGCAUCGCGCCUGGCCCGCGAUGCGGGGCAGACUCCCAAUGUGUCAGCCACUGCAUGGUCUGCUCAGUGCUGUUUGGAGGCUGGGAAGUGCUCUAGACCGUGGUUACACCCUGAACAGUUUGGAUGUGAGACAACCGACGACUCGGAGCUGCAGCAUUUUGGCACAGGGAAAGGGCACCCGCUGCUGCUAGAGAACUCAGUGCUUCGUAGAUGAAAACCAAACAUCUUGAAUUCCACCUGGAGCCCGCUGGCAGCGAACGCAGGGCCCAGAGCACUUACGUGGUGUUUUCUGACGGCGACACGAGGCUUGGUGGGUUUUGCUACGUGGCUUCCAUCCCGCUGUCCCACCCAAGCGGCCUUUCUUGAACAAAAGCCUGGGUCUUCGAUGCCCUGCGCUUCGGACGACCUUUAACAACCUGAGCUUAGUGAGAGAAACAAACUGCCAGAGGACGCAAUUAGCUUAAAUUUACCUGAAACCAAAAUCUUACCCAGUGACAUGAAUGAAUCCCGAGUGGUUCAUGCCUGGAAGGAGUUUCAGCAAGUGGAGAUCAAGUCGCUUUUCAGCUCAGGUGCUCUCAGUCUUGAUACCCCUGUCAUUUGCCAGCUGCCACCCUGUUUUCCUCAAGAAAGGCUCCACCAGCCUAAGCUUGGCCCAAGGUCCUCCCUGCAUUAAGACCAGGGUAUGCGGAUAUAGAACUGGAUUUGUCCGAUGGAACAGACAUUUUGGGUGAUGCUCUGGAUUAUCCUUCGGUAACUUCGCGAUGCGGAAGGCUUGGCUUGUUCACUGGCCUGGGCCUGAUGAUCAGCGAUAGACCGGAGGCGUCCCAGGGAUCCCACCCGGCAAAUAAACAAGAUCAGACAAGAGGGUGUCAGUCUGCAUGUCCCGACGAGUGGUCUGUGCGUCAGGAUUUGAGGCAGCCGGUGGGUCAGAAAGCAAGGUCCAAGUCCUGAGCGACCGGGGCUUUCCUUUGGAGUCUGUGUAACCGCGUGCUUGUGUGGAGGCAGAGAUUACACAAACGAGUGGGAGACGGGGUACUGUUAUUUAUGUUACAGGCUCAUCCUGUACGUGCGAAGUGCUGGAUGCACAGACCGCGAUUCAGAACCCGGGUGCUGUUGGUGUACGUGCCGCAGCGUGCCGAGAGCCGAGCGAGCCGCCCGCCUGGCAGGGUUUGGCGCUGGUCCUGAAUGUCACGCGACGCUUCAGCCCCAGGCAGCAGGCCAUGGCCGGCCGGGACCCACCGAAGGUUGGAAGAAGAAAGGCAACAGCGCUAGGAAAGCCAAUAUUUAAAAUCCAAAUCCGAUUCGGGAAAAAUAUUUCCCACCUUUAUGAUGAGCCUGGGAUUUGAAAGCCGCCACACCUUAAAGCGUGCAGGUUGCAAACCUGCACUGAUUGUGCGUGCUGCCGCUGCGAGCGGAGGAACAGCGAUGCUGUGUGUCCUUCGUGCCUGGCUUAAUACUGCCGCCCUAUGAACCUGUUUACAAGCAAAUAAUCCACAAAGAAAUUGGACGGGUUUGGUUAAUAACGCUCGGCAAACAGCAUGGCCUGGGUAUCAAUGUCAUGGUCUGAUCCCUAGGCAACAGCUUCUCCUCCGCCUCAUAGUGUUGCUCUUUCUGAAAUGGGAGGGAUAAAAGUGUAUUAAUAAGAACCCCAGCAGGCUGUAAAGACGGCUCACGGCUUGGGAAGAGGGUGCUGCUGUAUCUUCACUAAUAAAUCAGGAUCAUUAUUGCAGCAGGGGAGAGAAAGAGAACCCAGAGCAAAGGCAUCUGCUGUGAAUUAUGUCUCCGAGCCUGCUGGAGCUCUCUGUCUUCCCGAAGCACUUGCUUCAGCUAAGCCACAGAGCCUGCCAGCAGCCAUUAAUCCCCUCCGCUCCUGCCGGAAAGCUGAGGCUGGGCCGAGGCAAACAUUUCUUGUGUCUGACAGUGUGGGUUUGUGGGUUUUUUUUUUUCCUUUUUAAUACUUGCUGUAAUGAGAAGAGCCCAGAAGCGCUCGGAGUGCUUUCCGCAGGGCCGACGGACGUGUGUGUCAACGCAAGAAAAUACAAAAGCCGGUGAAGCUUUCCCUUUGUGCAAGUUCAGUCGCCCCCUCUGGCUCCGAAUACAUGUGCACAUCGAGCGGAGUGGCAGCUGCUGAGCACAGGGACUUAACGCCAGCGCGUGUCUCUACAGCAUUUCCUAUACAGUGCUUUUCCUUCGGGGGGACUGGGUGGGGGGGCGUGGGGGGAAUAGCAGUAGUCAAACUGCUGAAUUCAUUAGUUUUCUGAUUUCACCCAGACUUGUUAAGACACAAAUGCCCUGAAUGUGAUUUUCUAAGAGUAAUCCUGACUCAUGCAACUAAUCCUAUUUGGGUUUUUUUUCUUUAUUUUUUUUUUAAUGGGAGGGGAAACACCAAAGGGGCUUUUUUUUUUUUUAGCUUGAAAGCUCGCUUGGACAAAGCUGUCUUUAUACCCUGGUAAUGUGAUGCAAGAACCACGGCCUGAAGGCCUGUUUCGGGUGAUGCGUGCUAACGUAACACAGCAUGUCAGAGAGUAUUUUCCAGACAUUUACUCGGUAUUUAUGUCAGCUUUUCCCAGGGUUUACCACGGUGCGGUACUAGCACUUACGUGAGUACGAGCUUGCAUUUUUCAGCCAGUAAAACCGUAUGGAUUUGUCUGACAGUCCUUUGCUCCUCAGCAAAGAAGGUGGAACUCGAACCCUCGAUAACUGAGUCUGUAUAUUUUAAGAUGUGAGUCACAAGAAUAGAUUUGACCCGCUUUUUCUAUAAAAUGACACACCUGAUGCCAGCAGGCCCUCGCUGAGGGGUCUGUCCCCAUCAGACCUAAGGAUGUCAUUAAGAAGCUGUGUUGGACGGGCGAGGGUGGUAACAGGACACGCUGCUUUAUGUCCUGCGCGUUUUCAGCACCCUCGCUCUGACACUGCCUCCCUCCCCUGCUAGUCUGGAACCAAAACACCGGAUUCCUGACAGCCGUCACAUGGCAGUUACGAAGGGGCUGGGUCUCCUCCAGCUCUUUGUUCGGAGGGAGCCCGAUACCUUGGCACGGCAGUGCAGAGCAGGGGUAGGUCUCAGCACGGCUUUUCUCCUCCGAGGAGACCGAUUGCAGACAAAUCGUUCCCGAAUGGACACACCCAGCAGCUGGGCAGGUUCGGAAGCUCCGGCUCUCAAGCUGCUCUGCCUUGCACGAAGCGUGUUUGGAUGACCGGGGCCGGGCAGAAUGAAUGAAAUUCUCAUCCCCAAAAUGUUGAUUUGCAGUGCCUCAUGGCAGCGCUCUUGAGAAGCUCAGAAAGAGCUGUGUGCUGGAUGUUUACCAAGUGCUGAAUAAUGCGUAGUAGUGAAUCACACACAGAUUUCCCUUUCUUCCUAUUAGAAUUAUCGUAAGCGAUAAUAUGAUUGACCCAGAAGAAAACCAACUCCAACAGGUGAUGGUAUUAGGGGACUCCCUAUCUAAUAGCCAAAGCUUAAACACCGAGUUUACUGUUUCCAACAAGUUUUAACUGCAGUGCAUUACAGCAAGUGGUGUAGGAAGAUCUUUCCUGUAAGGAAAACAAAAAAGAAGGUGGUAAAAAUGGAUGCUUAAAUGUUACAGUAGCUCAUUUAAAUGCAGAGUUUGUUUGCUGUAGAGAUGGAACCAACGAUAACAUAUGGUGACAGGUAACAUGAGAGAGGAUGGUGAACAGGUUUUUCUGAAUAAUACCUAACGAACUAGAUAAAAAUAAUGGAACAGAAACGCAGUUGAGAGGACACUUGGUAUCACCCGAAACUCCUCCAGAAGGAGGUGUCUCCGCCUGGGUCACAAUCCUGAGCUACCUGGAUAACAGUCCUUUGUUAUUUCUCUCUCCGCAGGCUAGCACGGAGGAAUAAAUAAGCCAUUCCAACCACGUGGAUACUGUUAACAGUUCCUGGCUUAGCUUUGCUUUCACUGUUUCUGUUUUGUUAUCAGAUUGCAUGUGUGAAAAGGAAAAGAGACAAUAUUUCUAAGUUCAAGAGAAGACAAAAAGGUAAACUGAUUGAAGUAGUAAAAUCGAAUGGAUCUAACUUAGAGCUGCCUCCGUCUCUCCAAACAAGAGGAACCCCGUUCCCUGUGGUGAGGAUGGUGGUGUUACUCAUACUGCUAGUAAUCGUGGUCAGGGUAAGGCUCCUUCUCCUGGAGCACCUUCCUCUUCUGCUCUUCUGGUCCCUCCAAACAGUUUCUGCCUCCAGCAUCAAUAACAUUAGGCUGUAAGUCAUUCCAGAGCUUUCCAUGAAGUCGGCAGGUUUGAGGAUCAUUUGUACUCUCCCGGCAAAGGACUGUCACAACUGAUGUCUUACGGGGUUGUUACGCUCUGGAUUUUGCUCUCAUGAGUUACUGCUUUCCCUGCUGCAGAAAUAGCCGUGCGAAGGCAGAGACUGGGGGCUACACGUACCCCACCGCAGCGUGGUAGCACACAAUAAUGCCGCAGCCUGCGGUGCUCCUAGCACAGACAUUGGACAAAACCAGUCCUACAAUGCCCGAUGCAUUACUGAAAGAUGGUUUUCAUUAAAAAAUCACUAAAUGCCACUUUUGAUACGCUGCUGUUACGCACCCGAGCCCAGCUCUGACCAGAUGUGUGGAACAGCAGGCUCCGCUUUGUAGAGCGGGGUUUUCAAGUGCAAAGCGUGUUCCUUUCUGUGAAGCUGCUGCCUGUGCUUCCUGCUGCCUUAGAAAAACACUUCUCAGACCAACCGACUUCCCGGCAAGGACAGAUCGCUGCUGCUGGUUUCCCCGAGACAAGAACACAGGACCUGCACGUUUUUGCCGGUUACUCGUCAUCGCCUCAGUAACACAAAAAUCUCUUUCUCAUCGACCUGAUGUGUGAGACUUCGCAAUGCCUGUAAGGGAGAGACCUCUGGCUUCCACUGCGUGUAAUUUUCUGCUCUUGCAAGGCAAGGCUGGAUGCAGGUCCCCGUGCUGAAAACCCCCACCUCGGGGCGUACAGUCCGCUCGAGAACAGCGCGCUGUGGAAAGCGUUUGUAGGCGUGAGUGAUUUGCCUGAGCGUCUGCUGGAUCUCAAAAAUACUCUGUUUUGUAGGUCCAUAAAGUUAUUUCUCUAGAUAUA